UACGUAGGGGGCAAGCGUUGUUCGGAUUCAUUGGGCGUAAAGGGCGCGUAGGCGGCUUUUCAAGUGACGGGUGAAAUCCCUCGGCUUAACCGAGGAACUGCCUGUCAGACUGGAAGGCUUGAGACCGGGAGAGGUGAGUGGAAUUCCCAGUGUAGCGGUGAAAUGCGUAGAUAUUGGGAGGAACACCAGUGGCGAAGGCGGCUCACUGGACCGGAACUGACGCUGAGGCGCGAAAGCGUGGGGAGCAAACAGG
This 253-nucleotide ribosomal RNA is filed under the name uncultured bacterium. RNAcentral's name for it is "partial 16S ribosomal RNA". It matches the Rfam family "Bacterial small subunit ribosomal RNA", at positions 524 to 776 of the family's 1533-position model. The record is from RNAcentral.